This is a long non-coding RNA of Rhopalosiphum padi (bird cherry-oat aphid), 459 nucleotides long. RefSeq lists it as uncharacterized. The transcript has 3 exons. Lineage: Eukaryota; Metazoa; Arthropoda; Insecta; Hemiptera; Aphididae. The record is from RefSeq and is a predicted model, not a curated record.
UUGCUGAGACAUAACUACGCAUUCAUACCAGUUGAGAAAAUAUCAUUAUCCUACGUUGAAAAUUAACUAGAAGAUACUGAUAAUUAUAUAGGUUUUAUGCAAUAUGGCAGUACAUAGAUCACUCGAUGCAUGCUGAGACAUGAAUUCACAUUUCUACCACUUCGGAAAGUAUCAAUAUCCUACAUGUAAAAUGGACUAGAAGAUACUGAAAAUAUUAAUGGUUUUAUACAAUAUGGCAAUACAGCAGAUCACUCAAGGCUUGCUGAGACAUGACUACGCAUUCAUACCAGUUGAGAAAAUAUCAUUAUCCUACGUUGAAAAUUAACUAGAAGAUACUGAUAAUUAUAUAGGUUUUAUGCAAUGUACGUGAAAUGGCUAUUGAAUGUAAUUGAUAGUAAAUUAAUAGUAGUGUAACAAUUGAAAUUUGUUAAAAAUCUGAAUAAAGGAUUGGGAAACACA